CCCGCACAAGCGGUGGAGCAUGUGGUUUAAUUCGACGCAACGCGAAGAACCUUACCUGGGUUUGACAUCUUGGGAAUCUUUUAGAAAUAAGAGAGUGCCCCGCAAGGGGAGCCCGAAGACAGGUGCUGCAUGGCUGUCGUCAGCUCGUGUCGUGAGAUGUUGGGUUAAGUCCCGCAACGAGCGCAACCCUUAUCUUCAGUUACCAUCAUUUAGUUGGGGACUCUGGAGAUACUGCCCCGGUUAACGGGAGGAAGGUGGGGAUGACGUCAAGUCCUCAUGGCCUUUAUAUCCAGGGCUACACACGUGCUACAAUGGUCCGUACAAAGGGUUGCAAGCCUGCGAGGGUGAGCUAAUCCCGAAAAGCCGGUCUCAGUCCGGAUUGGAGUCUGCAACUCGACUCCAUGAAGUUGGAAUCGCUAGUAAUCGCAGAUCAGCACGCUGCGGUGAAUACGUUCCCGGGCCUU
Molecule: ribosomal RNA, 464 nt
Filed under: uncultured Desulfobacterium sp.
Lineage: Bacteria; Pseudomonadati; Thermodesulfobacteriota; Desulfobacteria; Desulfobacterales; Desulfobacteriaceae
Description: bacterial SSU rRNA
Rfam family: Bacterial small subunit ribosomal RNA
Source: RNAcentral